This 651-nucleotide unclassified non-coding RNA is filed under the name Homo sapiens (human). RNAcentral's name for it is "solute carrier family 2 member 11 (ENSG00000275744.4)". The record is from RNAcentral. Lineage: Eukaryota; Metazoa; Chordata; Mammalia; Primates; Hominidae.
CCUGCCUGGCAGCACUACGGCGGCUCCGGGGCUCCGGGGACUUGGCAGGGGAGCUGGAGGAGCUGGAGGAGGAGCGCGCUGCCUGCCAGGGCUGCCGUGCCCGGCGCCCAUGGGAGCUGUUCCAGCAUCGGGCCCUGAGGAGACAGGUGACAAGCCUCGUGGUUCUGGGCAGUGCCAUGGAGCUCUGCGGGAAUGACUCGGUGUACGCCUACGCCUCCUCCGUGUUCCGGAAGGCAGGAGUGCCGGAAGCGAAGAUCCAGUACGCGAUCAUCGGGACUGGGAGCUGCGAGCUGCUCACGGCGGUUGUUAGUAGCUCCUUCCCCUGGACACUCUACCUGGCCAUGGCCUGCAUCUUUGCCUUCAUCCUCAGCUUUGGCAUUGGCCCUGCCGGAGUGACGGGGAUCCUGGCCACAGAGCUGUUUGACCAGAUGGCCAGGCCUGCUGCCUGCAUGGUCUGCGGGGCGCUCAUGUGGAUCAUGCUCAUCCUGGUCGGCCUGGGAUUUCCCUUUAUCAUGGAGGCCUUGUCCCACUUCCUCUAUGUCCCUUUCCUUGGUGUCUGUGUCUGUGGGGCCAUCUACACUGGCCUGUUCCUUCCUGAGACCAAAGGCAAGACCUUCCAAGAGAUCUCCAAGGAAUUACACAGACUCAACU